This 552-nucleotide ribosomal RNA is filed under the name uncultured bacterium. Its description in RNAcentral is "bacterial SSU rRNA". It matches the Rfam family "Bacterial small subunit ribosomal RNA", at positions 335 to 877 of the family's 1533-position model. The record is from RNAcentral.
ACACCUACGGGUGGCAGCAGUGGGGAAUUGUUCGCAAUGGGCGCAAGCCUGACGACGCAACGCCGCGUGGAGGAUGAAGAUCUUCGGAUCGUAAACUCCUGUCGACCGGGACGAACGGCCUGCGGGUUAACACCUCGCGGGAGUGACGGUACCGGUGGAGGAAGCCCCGGCUAACUCCGUGCCAGCAGCCGCGGUAAUACGGGGGGGGCAAGCGUUGUUCGGAAUUACUGGGCGUAAAGGGCGCGUAGGCGGCCACCUCAGUCGAACGUGAAAUCCCUCGGCUUAACCGGGGAACUGCGUCCGAUACUGGGUGGCUGGAAUCCGGGAGAGGGAUGCGGAAUUCCAGGUGUAGCGGUGAAAUGCGUAGAUAUCUGGAGGAACACCGGUGGCGAAGGCGGCAUCCUGGACCGGCAUUGACGCUGAGGCGCGAAAGCCAGGGGAGCAAACGGGAUUAGAUACCCCGGUAGUCCUGGCCCUAAACGAUGAAUGCUUGGUGUGGCGGGUAUCGAUCCCUGCCGUGCCGGAGUUAACGCGUUAAGCAUUCCGCCUGGG